AUACGUAGGGGGCGAGCGUUGCCCGGAAUGAUUGGGCGUAAAGGGCGCGUAGGCGGCGCGGUAAGUCUGGAGUGAAAGUCCUGCUGUCAAGGUGGGAAUUGCUUUGGAUACUGCCGCGCUUGAGUGCAGGAGAGGUUAUCGGAAUUCCCGGUGUAGCGGUGAAAUGCGUAGAGAUCGGGAGGAACACCAGUGGCGAAGGCGGGUAACUGGACUGCAACUGACGCUGAGGCGCGAAAGUGUGGGGAGCAAACAGGAUUAGAUACCCUGGUAGUCCACACUGUAAACGAUGAAUGCUAGGUGUAAGAGGUAUCGACCCCUUUUGUGCCGGAGUCAACACAAUAAGCAUUCCGCCUGGGGAGUACGGCCGCAAGGUUGAAACUCAAAUGAAUUGACGGGG
This 397-nucleotide ribosomal RNA is filed under the name uncultured bacterium. RNAcentral's name for it is "partial 16S ribosomal RNA". It matches the Rfam family "Bacterial small subunit ribosomal RNA", at positions 523 to 918 of the family's 1533-position model. The record is from RNAcentral.